UACGUAGGGUCCGAGCGUUGUCCGGAAUUACUGGGCGUAAAGCGUGCGCAGGCGGUUAUGCAAGACAGAUGUGAAAUCCCCGGGCUCAACCUGGGAGCUGCAUUUGUGACUGCAUAGCUGGAGUGCGGCAGAGGGGGAUGGAAUUCCGCGUGUAGCAGUGAAAUGCGUAGAUAUGCGGAGGAACACCGAUGGCGAAGGCAAUCCCCUGGGCCUGCACUGACGCUCAUGCACGAAAGCGUGGGGAGCAAACAGG
Molecule: ribosomal RNA, 253 nt
Filed under: uncultured bacterium
Lineage: Bacteria
Description: partial 16S ribosomal RNA
Rfam family: Bacterial small subunit ribosomal RNA
Source: RNAcentral